CCAUCGGUGGUUCAGUGGUAGAAUGCACGCCUGCCACGCGGCCGGCCCGGGUUCGAUUCCCGGCCGAUGCA
RNAcentral lists this transfer RNA (71 nucleotides) under Cordylochernes scorpioides. RNAcentral describes it as "tRNA-Gly". It matches the Rfam family "tRNA". Rfam says of the family: Transfer RNA (tRNA) molecules are approximately 80 nucleotides in length. Lineage: Eukaryota; Metazoa; Arthropoda; Arachnida; Pseudoscorpiones; Chernetidae. The record is from RNAcentral.